This 430-nucleotide ribosomal RNA is filed under the name bacterium. RNAcentral's name for it is "partial 16S ribosomal RNA". It matches the Rfam family "Bacterial small subunit ribosomal RNA", at positions 355 to 776 of the family's 1533-position model. The record is from RNAcentral.
UGGGGAAUAUUGGACAAUGGGGGGAACCCUGAUCCAGCCAUGCCGCGUGUGUGAAGAAGGCCUUACGGUUGUAAAGCACUUUAAGCGAGGAGGAGGCUCUCUUGGUUAAUACCCAAGAUGAGUGGACGUUACUCGCAGAAUAAGCACCGGCUAACUCUGUGCCAGCAGCCGCGGUAAUACAGAGGGUGCGAGCGUUAAUCGGAUUUACUGGGCGUAAAGCGUGCGUAGGCGGCUUUUUAAGUCGGAUGUGAAAUCCCCGAGCUUAACUUGGGAAUUGCAUUCGAUACUGGGAAGCUAGAGUAUGGGAGAGGAUGGUAGAAUUCCAGGUGUAGCGGUGAAAUGCGUAGAGAUCUGGAGGAAUACCGAUGGCGAAGGCAGCCAUCUGGCCUAAUACUGACGCUGAGGUACGAAAGCAUGGGGAGCAAACAGG